Molecule: vault RNA, 98 nt
Filed under: Pavo cristatus (Indian peafowl)
Lineage: Eukaryota; Metazoa; Chordata; Aves; Galliformes; Phasianidae
Description: Vault RNA (ENSPSTG00000015136.1)
Rfam family: Vault RNA
About the family: This family of RNAs are found as part of the enigmatic vault ribonucleoprotein complex. The complex consists of a major vault protein (MVP), two minor vault proteins (VPARP and TEP1), and several small untranslated RNA molecules.
Source: Rfam by way of RNAcentral
GGGCCGGCUCUAGCCUAGCGGUUGCUUCGGCUUCACGCAAUUCAUGUGCUCCAGGCCUCGACUGGGUUUUGAUCCCACAGGCACCCCUUGGCCCACUC